Marmota monax (woodchuck) is the source of this 136-nucleotide small nuclear RNA. RefSeq annotates it as U4 spliceosomal RNA. NCBI's taxonomy places the organism in Eukaryota, Metazoa, Chordata, Mammalia, Rodentia, Sciuridae. The record is from RefSeq and is a predicted model, not a curated record. The transcript has a single exon.
AGCUUUGCGCAGUGGCAGUAUCGUAGCCAAUGAGGUUUAUCCGAGGCGCGAUUAUUGCUAAUUGAAAAAUAUGUAUCUUCAAAGAUGUAAUGAGUUCCUUGAAGGAAGGGAAACUUUUUGUUAGUUCAAAAAUUAA